UGACGUAAACGUAUCGCGAGACUGAGUCAAGAAAUUACACGUAGAGGUCUAAUUUCGAACCGCUCUCGCGGUACAUUGACGUCAUCAUCAUGUCAGCGCCGCAUGAGGUCGAACACACCUAUUAUUUGCGGGCACGCGCCUCCGUCCUCGUGAGUUCAAAAACUGAAUUUAACCGAUGUUUACCUCAGACGACAGUUUUCGUUUCUGUGAUAAAUUCUGAGCUAAUUUUCUUGUUGUGUUUGAUCUUUUCCAUUGGCUGAAGAAUGCUGUGACAAAAAAGCAACCAGGACACCACAUCUGCAGUGACAGAGAGCAGGAUGGGGGAGGAAUCAGAAGGACCAGAAGAUAAUAUCAACUGGUGCCCCUGAGGAGAUUCACAUUGUUCUGUUUCUUUUGUUUAGUAAUAAGUGGUUUUAUGUGAUUUUGUAAAAUAAAAGAAAUUCAGUAUUCAAUCCACAUGUUUUGCACAUAAUUUUCUAUAUUUUACUUCCGUGUAUUUACAGCCAGGGUGCCUACUGUAUUUAUUGCCCACACGUUGCCCACAGUUAGCCCAAACUUUGCCCAGUGUGUCCACAUUAAAUCCACAAUUUGUCCACAGUAAGCCCACACUUUGCCCAGUGUACCCACAGUUAGCCCACACUUUGCCACAGCCCACACUUUGCUCAAUGUGCCCACAGUUAGCCCACACU
This is a long non-coding RNA of Paramisgurnus dabryanus, 689 nucleotides long. RefSeq lists it as uncharacterized. Lineage: Eukaryota; Metazoa; Chordata; Actinopteri; Cypriniformes; Cobitidae. The record is from RefSeq and is a predicted model, not a curated record.